Pseudoliparis swirei is the source of this 403-nucleotide long non-coding RNA. RefSeq lists it as uncharacterized. NCBI's taxonomy places the organism in Eukaryota, Metazoa, Chordata, Actinopteri, Perciformes, Liparidae. The transcript has 4 exons. The record is from RefSeq and is a predicted model, not a curated record.
AUCUCAAGUAAGCUUUACUUUAAAAAAAUGAGUGAGGCGGACUCGGAAGAAACUCGGGCGCACUCGGCAGCACUCGGCUCGAAUACGCAUGCGCAGUCGACCACUGAAGACGUUCUUUGGCCGAGACGGAUUGGCGGCAGCGAGAAGGCAGUGCACUGUGCGAGUUACUUUAAGGCUUUGAAAAACCUGGCAAUGAAUUAUUCUGGCUGAAUUCUGUCGCUUAUCAAGCAAAAAUCUGAGUUGCAAUCAGAGUUCUUCAAAGAUCUCGACAAAUACACUCCUCGCUUCCUGGAGAAGUUCAAGACCCAGAGGGGGAAAGUGUCGGGCAGAAACUUGAAUAUCUGCAACAAGUCACACCUGGGAGUACAGAUGUGACUGGGAGGUGAACAGCAGUCCUCCGUGG